GCAGGUUUAUAUCAAACUAAGGUUAUAACACAGCUUGUAUUGCUUAUAGGCAGGUUUAUAUCAAACUAAGGUUGUAACACAGUUUGUAUUGCUUAUAGGCAGGUUUAUAUCAAACUAAGGUUAUAACACAGCUUGUAUUGCUUAUAGGCAGGUUUAUAUCAAACUAAGGUUGUAACACAGUUUGUAUUGCUUAUAGGCAGGUUUAUAUCAAACUAAGGUUGUAACACAGUUUGUAUUGUUUAUAGGCAGGUCUAUACCAAACUAAGGUUGUAACACAGUUUGUAUUGUUUAUGCUGAAAGUUUGAAGACUAAUGAAAACCAAAAGAUUUUUAAUAUUCAUGAUAAACAUCAUGCUUGAUGUUGAUAAUGUUUCCACAUUCAAUUUCAGGUUUUCAAGUCAGAUGUGUGUAAAACUAGCAUUUUAGAUCUAUCUUUUGUCUAACUGUCUAUGAGGCCUUUCAUAUGCUUUAACUAAUUUGGGCUGGACUGUUUUAUACAGGCAUUUCACAUGAAAUUAUCUUUGUAUAUUACUGAUUUGAAAUUAGUAAUGGACUAAUUAAAAGUAAUGUGGGAUAGAAGCAUAUGCAUUCAUGCAUGAACUUUAGGCCUGUUUGUUUCCAUAUAGUUUUCAGAGAGACCGACUUAAGCAUGUUGUAAUCCACCCAGUUGGCAUUUUUUUUACUUGUUAGGGCACAAGAAUGAUGUAUGAUUGGCAUGUAUUCAGUAUUGCACAUAAAUAAUGUAUGGGUGAUGUGUUACUUCAAUGUUGCACAUGAAUGAUGUAGGGCUGACGUAUUACUUCAAUAUUACACAUGAAUGAUGUAUAGUUGACAUCUGUUACUUCAUUCUUGUAGAAGAAUGAUGUAUGGCUAAACUUUGUUACUUUAGUAUUACAGAAGAAUGAUGUA
Long non-coding RNA from Limulus polyphemus (Atlantic horseshoe crab), 908 nucleotides. RefSeq lists it as uncharacterized. The transcript is spliced from 3 exons. The record is from RefSeq and is a predicted model, not a curated record. Lineage: Eukaryota; Metazoa; Arthropoda; Merostomata; Xiphosura; Limulidae.